RNAcentral lists this long non-coding RNA (1306 nucleotides) under Amborella trichopoda. Its description in RNAcentral is "long non-coding RNA (ATRI_LNC000900)". The record is from RNAcentral. Lineage: Eukaryota; Viridiplantae; Streptophyta; Magnoliopsida; Amborellales; Amborellaceae.
CCCACCUCAAACACUUGAAACCAUCUACUUGCAGCUGCUGCACGUUCAAUUUCAAGAGCAUGAGGUGUUAAGAAAAUUUUUUCCUCAAAUUAAUUCUUUGGGAACCUUUGUAGUAAAUGGAAAUCACAUUAACAUUAAUGGUUGCAUUCACAGUUAUAUUUAGUGUGACAUCGCUAUUGAUAGUUCCAUUUCAAGUUGUAGUGACAAUGACAAAUAUAUUAAGGGUGUGUUCGUUAACAUGAAGUUAGGGACGAAGAAGGAACUUCUUAUUAUUGUACAAAGUAAAGAACUUCCUUAUUCCAUUGUGCUCAAAAAAAAAAGAGUUCCAUUUGAUGAAACUUGAAAUAGGAACUUGGUUCCUCAAACCCUAUUCUACCCAUAGUUAACAAAUCACCGUUUAAACGGUGAUUUUUUAAAAAAGUCGGUAUUUUUAUGGAAACAAUUUUCAACGGUAACUUUUUGAAAAAGUUGGUAAAAAAUCACGUAGUUUUUAUAGAAACAUUUAAAACACGUUUUUUUCAUAAUACGAUUUAAAUCAGAUCAAAAAAUCAUAUCUUUUUUUUACCUAUAUUUUUUUUUGAGUAGUUUUUUUUUUUUUUUUUUUGUGUAUUGCAGAUAUUGCUACGUUGCUUUUGAAAAAAAUUUAUUAUUUCAAAACAAUACCUAAAAUAUAAACUUUUUUCCCCACGGUGUUCUUCAAAGCUACAGUUACAGAUUGAAGGUAUGAAUUUUUUUUUCGCCUUUUUUAAAAAAACUUAAACAAAUAUAUGCAUAUUUCAGUUGUUAUUUUGGAAAAUCAUUGUGUGAAUGAAAUACUGUUCAAAGCGAAUAAUUUUGUAAGAAAAUCAUGUACAUGCAUAUUUAUGUGAUUAUUAUUUUUAUGAAAAUACUGUUUAUGGCACAAAUUAGAGCUCAAAACAUAGUCUUUUACUAGUGAAUGAGAAGCAGAGAAUGUGACUACAUGACCAAGUAAUCAAUAUUUUUGUUUUUGAUUAUGUGAUAACAAAGAUAAACAAUAUCGUGUAAACUGUAAAUUUACCUGAGUAAGCAAUUGUACAUAUAGGAUUAGUUCCCAAAACUUAAUCCUUCAACUCUGGUUGUUGUUGUCCCAAGAAAAUGACGAACCCUCUUCCUUUUGUCUCUCUAAAAAUUAGUUAGGGCCUCUUCACAAAUCAGUAUAGUUAGGGUUUUCUCUUAAACAACAUCCCAAAUCAGAGAGAAAAACUCUCUCCAAACUAUCUCAAAUCAACGUCUCAUCUUCCUUUUCUCUCUCUAAAAAUCGGGCCUCUUCGAUUACGGUUUGUGA